Molecule: ribosomal RNA, 1076 nt
Filed under: Phialocephala sp. 8
Lineage: Eukaryota; Fungi; Ascomycota; Leotiomycetes; Helotiales; Mollisiaceae
Description: SSU rRNA
Rfam family: Eukaryotic small subunit ribosomal RNA
Source: RNAcentral
GUAGUCAUAUGCUUGUCUCAAAGAUUAAGCCAUGCAUGUCUAAGUAUAAGCAAUCUAUACCGUGAAACUGCGAAUGGCUCAUUAAAUCAGUUAUCGUUUAUUUGAUAGUACCUUACUACUUGGAUAACCGUGGUAAUUCUAGAGCUAAUACAUGCUAAAAACCUCGACUUCGGAAGGGGUGUAUUUAUUAGAUAAAAAACCAAUGCCCUUCGGGGCUCCUUGGUGAUUCAUAAUAACUUAACGAAUCGCAUGGCCUUGUGCCGGCGAUGGUUCAUUCAAAUUUCUGCCCUAUCAACUUUCGAUGGUAUGGUCUUGGCUUACCAUGGUUUCAACGGGUAACGGGGAAUUAGGGUUCUAUUCCGGAGAGGGAGCCUGAGAAACGGCUACCACAUCCAAGGAAGGCAGCAGGCGCGCAAAUUACCCAAUCCCGACACGGGGAGGUAGUGACAAUAAAUACUGAUACAGGGCUCUUUUGGGUCUUGUAAUUGGAAUGAGUACAAUUUAAAUCCCUUAACGAGGAACAAUUGGAGGGCAAGUCUGGUGCCAGCAGCCGCGGUAAUUCCAGCUCCAAUAGCGUAUAUUAAAGUUGUUGCAGUUAAAAAGCUCGUAGUUGAACCUUGGGCCUGGCUGGCCGGUCCGCCUCACCGCGUGCACUGGUCCGGCCGGGUCUUUCCUUCUGAGGAGCCGCAUGCCCUUCACUGGGUGUGUCGGGGAAUCAGGACUUUUACUUUGAAAAAAUUAGAGUGUUCAAAGCAGGCCUAUGCUCGAAUACAUUAGCAUGGAAUAAUAGAAUAGGACGUGUGGUUCUAUUUUGUUGGUUUCUAGGACCGCCGUAAUGAUUAAUAGGGAUAGUCGGGGGUGUCAGUAUUCAAUUGUCAGAGGUGAAAUUCUUGGAUUUAUUGAAGACUAACUACUGCGAAAGCAUUCACCAAGGAUGUUUUCAUUAAUCAGUGAACGAAAGUUAGGGGAUCGAAGACGAUCAGAUACCGUCGUAGUCUUAACCAUAAACUAUGCCGACUAGGGAUCGGGCGAUGUUAUCUUUUUGACUCGCUCGGCACCUUACGAGAAAUCAAAGU